GGGCGCAUAGCGCAGUGGUAGCGCGCAUGCUUUGCAACAACAUGAUUACAUAAGCAUUUGUAAUCAAACGUGUAUGAGGUCCAGGGUUCAAUCCCCUGUGCGUCCA
Transfer RNA from Hydnomerulius pinastri MD-312, 106 nucleotides. It matches the Rfam family "tRNA". Rfam says of the family: Transfer RNA (tRNA) molecules are approximately 80 nucleotides in length. Their secondary structure includes four short double-helical elements and three loops (D, anti-codon, and T loops). Further hydrogen bonds mediate the characteristic L-shaped molecular structure. tRNAs have two regions of fundamental functional importance: the anti-codon, which is responsible for specific mRNA codon recognition, and the 3' end, to which the tRNAs corresponding amino acid is attached (by aminoacyl-tRNA synthetases). tRNAs cope with the degeneracy of the genetic code in two manners: having more than one tRNA (with a specific anti-codon) for a particular amino acid; and 'wobble' base-pairing, i.e. permitting non-standard base-pairing at the 3rd anti-codon position. Lineage: Eukaryota; Fungi; Basidiomycota; Agaricomycetes; Boletales. The record is from Rfam.